Long non-coding RNA from Tupaia belangeri chinensis (Chinese tree shrew), 457 nucleotides. RefSeq lists it as uncharacterized. NCBI's taxonomy places the organism in Eukaryota, Metazoa, Chordata, Mammalia, Scandentia, Tupaiidae. The transcript is spliced from 3 exons. The record is from RefSeq and is a predicted model, not a curated record.
AGCCCCAUGCGGCUGCGUGGUGCAAGAUUCCCAGGACCUAACGCACUGUUUACAUGCGACAGUCAGGGCACCAAUCAAGGCGUCUGAGGCCACUGUUUGAGAUACAGCUUCAAAACACAAGCUUGGGACAAGCCGAUGGUGUAACAAUUACGUCACUGGACUCCCAUGCACUUGACCAUGGUUCGAGUCCUGGACCCGGUGACUUAAAACUCAUGCCAGCACACACAGGAGCUGAGCCCAGGACGGAAAAUGAUGGCAUGAAGUCACACACCGAGGAUGGGAACUCAGGCCUCCAGUGCCAACCCAGGUUUGUCCUCCAGACUGUGCGGUCCUCACUGCUGGGCAAAGUUCAACUCAGCUCCCAGAGGCUUGCAGAAGCAGUCUCCAUGGAAACACAACAGAGGAGAUUCAGGGGACCAACCCGUUCAUCUCGCCUCCCCAUUUUGCAGAUGAGUAA